Molecule: ribosomal RNA, 450 nt
Filed under: uncultured bacterium
Lineage: Bacteria
Description: partial 16S ribosomal RNA
Rfam family: Bacterial small subunit ribosomal RNA
Source: RNAcentral
AGCGAACGCUGGCGGCAGGCUUAACACAUGCAAGUCGAACGCAUCCUUCGGGGUGAGUGGCAGACGGGUGAGUAACACGUGGGAACGUACCUCUUUGUUCGGAAUAGCUUUUGGAAACGAAAGGUAAUACCGGAUACGCCCUUUUGGGGAAAGAUUUAUCGCAGCAGAGAUCGGCCCGCGUCUGAUUAGCUAGUUGGUGAGGUAAUGGCUCACCAAGGCGACGAUCGGUAGCCGACCUGAGAGGGUGACCGGCCACAUUGGGACUGAAGCACGGCCCAAACUCCUACGGGAGGCAGCGGUGGGGAAUAUUGUACAAUGGGCGCAAGCCUGAUCCAGCCAUGCCGCGUGAGUGAUGAAGGCCUUAGGGUUGUAAAGCUCUUUCACCGGAGAAGAUAAUGACGGUAUCCGGAGAAGAAGCCCCGGCUAACUUCGUGCCAGCCGCCGCCGUAA